CCUACGGGAGGCAGCAGUGAGGAAUAUUGGUCAAUGGACGCAAGUCUGAACCAGCCAUGCCGCGUGCAGGAUGACGGCUCUAUGAGUUGUAAACUGCUUUUGUACGAGGGUAAACGCAGAUACGUGUAUCUGUCUGAAAGUAUCGUACGAAUAAGGAUCGGCUAACUCCGUGCCAGCAGCCGCGGUAAUACGGAGGAUUCAAGCGUUAUCCGGAUUUAUUGGGUUUAAAGGGUGCGUAGGCGGUUUGAUAAGUUAGAGGUGAAAUUUCGGGGCUCAACCCUGAACGUGCCUCUAAUACUGUUGAGCUAGAGAGUAGUUGCGGUAGGCGGAAUGUAUGGUGUAGCGGUGAAAUGCUUAGAGAUCAUACAGAACACCGAUUGCGAAGGCAGCUUACCAAACUAUAUCUGACGUUGAGGCACGAAAGCGUGGGGAGCAAACAGGAUUAGAUACCCUGGUAGUCCACGCAGUAAACGAUGAUAACUCGUUGUCGGCGAUACACAGUCGGUGACUAAGCGAAAGCGAUAAGUUAUCCACCUGGGGAGUACGUUCGCAAGAAUGAAACUCAAAGGAAUUGACGGGGGCCCGCACAAGCGGAGGAACAUGUGGUUUAAUUCGAUGAUACGCGAGGAACCUUACCCGGGCUUGAAAGUUAGCGACGAUUCUUGAAAGAGGAUUUCCCUUCGGGGCGCGAAACUAGGUGCUGCAUGGUUGUCGUCAGCUCGUGCCGUGAGGUGUCGGGUUAAGUCCCAUAACGAGCGCAACCCCUACCGUUAGUUGCCAUCAGGUGAAGCUGGGCACUCUGGCGGGACUGCCGGUGAUAAGCCGAGAGGAAGGUGGGGAUGACGUCAAAUCAGCACGGCCCUUACGUCCGGGGCUACACACGUGUUACAAUGGUAGGUACAGAGGGCAGCUACCCAGCGAUGGGAUGCGAAUCUCGAAAGCCUAUCUCAGUUCGGAUUGGAGGCUGAAACCCGCCUCCAUGAAGUUGGAUUCGCUAGUAAUCGCGCAUCAGCCAUGGCGCGGUGAA
RNAcentral lists this ribosomal RNA (1027 nucleotides) under human gut metagenome. RNAcentral's name for it is "bacterial SSU rRNA". It matches the Rfam family "Bacterial small subunit ribosomal RNA", at positions 338 to 1366 of the family's 1533-position model. The record is from RNAcentral.